UCUAUAUUAGACCUCCGAGCCAGUAAGCCUACGGCUAAAAACCUUAAGCUAUGGCUGCUGGCCUCCUGCCUCCAGGCAGUGACGGGGUAGGCCGGGAAACGGGCCUGCCUCCCGGAUUGGGAAAGGAGCCUUAAGGGAGAAACU
This 144-nucleotide non-coding RNA is filed under the name Thermanaeromonas toyohensis. RNAcentral's name for it is "MoCo sequence". It matches the Rfam family "Molybdenum/Tungsten riboswitch aptamer (Moco RNA motif)". Lineage: Bacteria; Bacillati; Bacillota; Clostridia; Neomoorellales; Neomoorellaceae. The record is from RNAcentral. RNAcentral also lists the same sequence under 1 other name.